Molecule: microRNA, 21 nt
Filed under: Mus musculus (house mouse)
Lineage: Eukaryota; Metazoa; Chordata; Mammalia; Rodentia; Muridae
Description: mmu-miR-698-5p
Gene: mmu-miR-698-5p
Source: miRBase by way of RNAcentral
UGUGGGUGGGACAGGGAUGUU